This 460-nucleotide ribosomal RNA is filed under the name uncultured bacterium. Its description in RNAcentral is "partial 16S ribosomal RNA". It matches the Rfam family "Bacterial small subunit ribosomal RNA", at positions 338 to 795 of the family's 1533-position model. The record is from RNAcentral.
CCUACGGGGGGCAGCAGUGAGGAAUAUUGGUCAAUGGGCGAGAGCCUGAACCAGCCAAGUCGCGUGAAGGAUGACGGCCCUACGGGUUGUAAACUUCUUUUGUCAGGGAGCAAUUGGGUCCACGCGUGGGCUUAGCGAGAGUACCUGAAGAAAAAGCAUCGGCUAACUCCGUGCCAGCAGCCGCGGUAAUACGGAGGAUGCGAGGGUUAUCCGGGUUUAUUGGGUUUAAGGGGUGCGUAGGCGGAAUAUCAGGGCGGCGUGAAAAAUUGGGGGCUAACCCCCGUCGUGCCGUUGAAACUGAUGGGCUUGAGUGGGCGAGAAGUAUGCGGAAUGCGUGGUGUAGCGGUGAAAUGCAUAGAUAUCACGCAGAACUCCGAUUGCGAAGGCAGCAUACCGGCGCCCAACUGACGCUGAAGCACGAAAGCGUGGGUAGCGAACAGGAUUAGAUACCCGGGUAGUC